GAUGAACGCUGGCGGCGUGCCUAAUACAUGCAAGUCGAGCGCCCUGCACUUUGCGCACGAGAUACUAUCUCGUGAAUAAAGUGUAGGGAGCGGCGGACGGCUGAGUAACGCGUAGGAACGUACCCCAAAGUGAGGAAUAAGCACCGGAAACGGUGUCUAAUGCCGCAUGUGCUCUAAGGAGUAAAGGAUUUAUCCGCUUUGGGAGCGGCCUGCGUAUGAUUAGUUUGUUGGUGAGGUAAUGGCUCACCAAGACUACGAUCAUUAGCUGGUCUGAGAGGAUGAUCAGCCAGACUGGGACUGAGACACGGCCCAGACUCCUACGGGAGGCAGCAGUAGGGAAUUUUCCACAAUGGACGAAAGUCUGAUGGAGCAACGCCGCGUGCAGGAUGAAGGCUUUCGGGUCGUAAACUGCUUUUAUGAGUGAAGAUUAAGACGGUAACUCAAGAAUAAGGGACGGCUAACUACG
Molecule: ribosomal RNA, 466 nt
Filed under: uncultured bacterium
Lineage: Bacteria
Description: bacterial SSU rRNA
Rfam family: Bacterial small subunit ribosomal RNA
Source: RNAcentral